GGAUAUGAGGGUGAUCUGACUGUGACAUUUAUCACUCCAUUGACUGCCAUGAUUGAUUUGGCUGAUCUGGCUGAUUAGGUGGAUCUCCCCUUUCUGUCUCAUUGCUACUCCACGUGCAUCCCUCCUGAAUCUGCAUGUUCAGUCAAAGAUGACUACCUUCCCCAAUAGAGACAUACUGUUCCCUCGUCAAGGGUAUAUGGUAGCUGCACUCACCUGCUAGAACCUCCAGAUAAGCUAAAGGUUCAUUCGUAAGAAAACACAGGGUAGUUAAACUUCCUGGACUGCAGACACAUCCCAGUGAGGCAUGGGGCAGUCUGUCAUUGUAA
This 326-nucleotide small nuclear RNA is filed under the name Callipepla squamata (scaled quail). RNAcentral's name for it is "7SK RNA". It matches the Rfam family "7SK RNA". From Rfam's summary of the family: 7SK was discovered as an abundant small nuclear RNA in the mid-70s but a possible function has only recently been suggested. Lineage: Eukaryota; Metazoa; Chordata; Aves; Galliformes; Odontophoridae. The record is from Rfam by way of RNAcentral.